Non-coding RNA from Plutella xylostella (diamondback moth), 2379 nucleotides. The record is from RefSeq and is a predicted model, not a curated record. Lineage: Eukaryota; Metazoa; Arthropoda; Insecta; Lepidoptera; Plutellidae.
CUGACUGGCUGUAUUUUCCUCUAAUUUUGAGCAAUUUUAUCUGUUUUCUUAUCGAUAAAGCCUGUUUUAACCGAUUGUAACUUUGAAAUAGAUCAGUGUUUACAAGUGAAUACAUUUGUGUAAGCGAAAAUUAUCGCUUACGCGUAAAGUAACCGAGAAAAGGGCCGGUCUCGGGGAUUGCAAUUAAAAGAUGUGGAAAGCGGGUAUAGAUGUGACAACGGUGGCCCCAACAGAAGGUGAUGACUGGGAGACCGACCCGGACUUUGUCAAUGAUGUCACCGAGCACGAGCAGCGAUGGGGACCUGGUGGCCGGAAUGUGGAGGCUAUUGAUAUGGCAAAGCUAAGAGAGGAGGUUUUGGAGGCAGAUAAAGUGUCAAAACAGAAGCAGUAUGAACAAGGACCGAAGCCAUCUUUUGGAUAUGGCGGUAAAUUUGGCGUCCAACAGGAUCGUAUGGACAAGUCUGCGGUCGGACACGACUACAUCGAAAAAACUGAGAAACAUGUCUCACAGAAAGACUAUGCACAAGGUUUCGGCGGCAAGUUCGGCGUACAGACCGACCGGAUGGACGCCUCAGCGGUGGGACACGACUACGUCGGCAAGACGGAGAAGCACGAGUCACAGACCGACUACUCGAAGGGGUUCGGCGGCAAGUUUGGGGUGCAGACUGACAGGGUUGAUAAGAGCGCGGCGGGCUGGGAGCACCGCGAGGCGGUGGCGCCGCACCCCUCGCAGACGGAGCACAAGCUCGGCUUCGGAGGCAAGUUCGGCGUGCAGACCGACAGACAAGAUGCCUCUGCCCUUGGCUGGGACCACCACGAGAGUCGUACCAAGCACUCCAGCCAAAUGGACCAUAGCAAGGGCUUCGGUGGUAAAUUCGGCAUCGAGACCGACCGCGUGGACAAAUCAGCCCUUCCCUUCACGGCAGUGGAGCGAGUGGGGACAACUCAUACACGGGCCAAGCCCGACAUCGGCGGCGCCAAGCCCAGCUCCAUCCGGGACAAGUUCGAGAACAUGGCCAAGGAGAAGGAACAGGAAGCUCUACAAUCUGUACAGAGGAUACGGGAGCAGAGGACUAAAAUGGACAAAGACCUUUCACAAAAAGAAAAGGACCGAGUCGCGAAAGAAGACGCAGCAACCCCGACCCCGCCAACCCCACAAACCCCGCAACCCGCAACCCCACCCGUGACCCCAGUCACCCCAGCCCCAGUUACCCCAGCACAAAUUACCCCACCUGUAACCCCAGUGGUGAAACAGGCGGAACCAGUGUUGAAGCAACAGGUGGAAGCUAUGAAGACUAGUGUGGACCCGCCGACGCCCGUUGAAGAAGUGAAAGCUGUGAACCUGCCUGAUGUCACGUUGGUGGGAGAGCCUAAGGAGGAAAAGGAGGAGCUAACCCGCCAGCCCACAGUCGUCAUAUCCCCGGUCGGAUGGGAGAGCGAGGCGGGAGACGCGAGCUUGGCCGACGAGGAAGAGGAGGGGUAUACUGCGCGCGCGCUCUACGACUACCAGGCGGCCGCGCGCGACGAGAUUAGCUUCGACCCCGGUGACGUCAUCACUAACAUCAUCAUGGUCAGUGUACUUGUUGCUUAUAGCAAUCUCUACCAGGGAACCGCACCAUGGAAGUUACAUACACGCAUAUGCGAAGCAUAUAAGGAAGAGGGUGUCCCACGCUCGGUACUAUAGUUAUGCGAAGCAUAUGAGGAAGAGGGAGUCCCACGCUCUAUACUAUAGGUAUGCUGCACAUUUAAGGUCGAGGGUGUCACACUACAUAUAGUAAAUAAAUAAAUGUGUAUACAUACUCUAUAUAUUGUGUGUAGUGGCUUGUCUAGUAAGUAGGUCGUACCGGGGUCGGGCGGGAGAGCGAGGCGGGAGACGCGAGCUUGGCCGACGAGGAAGAGGAGGGGUAUACUGCGCGCGCGCUCUACGACUACCAGGCGGCCGCGCGCGACGAGAUCAGCUUCGACCCCGGUGACGUCAUCACUAACAUCAUCAUGAUCGACGAGGGUUGGUGGCAGGGGCUGUGUAAAGGCGCGUACGGACUGUUCCCAGCCAACUACGUGCAACUGAUCGACAAGAGCCCCGUGUAAACUCACCCUUACAUUCCCAUACAAUUAAUGUUUCAUAACACUGUACAGAUUAUCUUGUUUAAUGCUAUAUUUUUAUAAUGAAAAUAUAUUGGAUUUAGUUGAUACACCUUGACAUAAGAAGUGCAAAAGGAUAAGUGUGAGGCCCCAUUGGUUCGUUUGGUUUGGUUGGAACUGUCGUUAAAAAUAUAAUUAUGUUCACGACGCCGAUUCGACGUAACACAGCACAACGCACCAAUGGGGCCGAAUCCGUAUGUGAAUGAUUUACUGGUCAGACAUAGACAAGCUUAAUGG